Molecule: ribosomal RNA, 369 nt
Filed under: uncultured organism
Description: partial 16S ribosomal RNA
Rfam family: Bacterial small subunit ribosomal RNA
Source: RNAcentral
GGAGAGUGCAAGCGUUAAUCGGAAUUACUGGGCGUAAAGCGCGCGUAGGUGGAUACUUAAGUCGGAUGUGAAAGCCCUGGGCUUAACCUGGGAACUGCACUCGAUACUGGGUAUCUAGAGUAUGGUAGAGGGAAGUGGAAUUUCCGGUGUAGCGGUGAAAUGCGUAGAUAUCGGAAAGAACACCAGUGGCGAAGGCGGCUUCCUGGACCAAUACUGACACUGAGGUGCGAAAGCGUGGGGAGCAAACAGGAUUAGAGACCCUGGUAGUCCACGCCGUCAACGAUGAGAACUAGCUGUUGGGAGGGUUUUUCCUCUUAGUAGCGAAGCUAACGCGUUAAGUUCUCCGCCUGGGGAGUACGCCGCAAGGUU